Molecule: ribosomal RNA, 262 nt
Filed under: uncultured archaeon
Lineage: Archaea
Description: partial 16S ribosomal RNA
Rfam family: Archaeal small subunit ribosomal RNA
Source: RNAcentral
AGUCACUGACAUUAGAUACCCGUGUAGUCCCAGCCGUAACUAUGCGCGUUAGGUGUACUGGUGACCACGAGUCACCGGGUGCCGAAGGGAAGCUGUUAAGUCCACCGCCUGGGAAGUACGGUCGCAAGACUGAAACUUAAAGGAAUUGGCGGGGAGCACCACAACGCGUGGAGCCUGCGGUUUAAUUUGGAUUCAACGCCGGACAUCUCACCAGGGCGACAGCAGAAUGAUGGCCAGGUUGAUGACCUUGCUUGACAAGCUG